AUGACUUGGAGAUAGUUUACAUGC
Molecule: non-coding RNA, 24 nt
Filed under: Cricetulus griseus (Chinese hamster)
Lineage: Eukaryota; Metazoa; Chordata; Mammalia; Rodentia; Cricetidae
Source: RNAcentral